This 253-nucleotide ribosomal RNA is filed under the name uncultured bacterium. RNAcentral's name for it is "partial 16S ribosomal RNA". It matches the Rfam family "Bacterial small subunit ribosomal RNA", at positions 524 to 776 of the family's 1533-position model. The record is from RNAcentral.
UACGGAGGGUGCAAGCGUUAUCCGGAUUCACUGGGUUUAAAGGGUGCGUAGGAGGGCAGGUAAGUCAGUGGUGAAAUCCCCGAGCUUAACUUGGGAACUGCCGUCGAUACUAUCUGUCUUGAAUACCGUGGAGGUGAGCGGGAUAUGUCAUGUAGCGGUGAAAUGCUUAGAUAUGACAUAGAACACCAAUUGCGAAGGCAGCUCGCUACACGAAUAUUGACUCUGAGGCACGAAAGCGUGGGGAUCAAACAGG